UCCAAAUUGAAAUAGAAACUUGUGGUGCUACUCUUUGUUUUUUAAUGUAAAUUGGGUUUCCCUACUUUCAAUUCCAAACUAAAAAAUAAGCCACCAAACCAAGGCCAUUAGUAGGGCUGUGCAUAGUUCCUGGGGAAUCCGAACUGAACCGGAAUUGAAAAAAAACUGUUACUGUAUGAACCAAACCAAAAUUGUUUUACUGUUUUGGUUUGG
RNAcentral lists this unclassified non-coding RNA (213 nucleotides) under Hevea brasiliensis (rubber tree). The record is from RNAcentral. Lineage: Eukaryota; Viridiplantae; Streptophyta; Magnoliopsida; Malpighiales; Euphorbiaceae.